RNAcentral lists this ribosomal RNA (492 nucleotides) under uncultured bacterium. RNAcentral describes it as "partial 16S ribosomal RNA". It matches the Rfam family "Bacterial small subunit ribosomal RNA", at positions 29 to 507 of the family's 1533-position model. The record is from RNAcentral.
AGUGAACGCUGGCGGUAGGCUUAACACAUGCAAGUCGAACGGCAGCACAGUAAGAGCUUGCUCUUACGGGUGGCGAGUGGCGGACGGGUGAGGAAUACAUCGGAAUCUACUUUUUCGUGGGGGAUAACGUAGGGAAACUUACGCUAAUACCGCAUACGACCUACGGGUGAAAGCAGGGGAUCUUCGGACCUUGCGCGACUGAAUGAGCCGAUGUUGGAUUAGCUAGUUGGCGGGGUAAAGGCCCACCAAGGGGACGAUCCGUGGCUGGUCUGAGAGGAUGAUCAGCGACACUGGAAGUGAGACGCGGUCCAGAGUCCUACGGGAGGCAGCAGUGGGGAAUGGUGGACAAUGGGCGGAAGCCUGAUCCAGCCAUACCGCGUGGGUGAAGAAGGCCUUCGGGUUGUAAAGCCGUUUUGUUGGGAAAGAAAAGCAGCAGGUUAAUACCCCGCUGUUCUGACGGUACCCAAAGAAUAAGCACCGGCUAACUACGUG